Long non-coding RNA from Pezoporus flaviventris, 1130 nucleotides. RefSeq lists it as uncharacterized. Lineage: Eukaryota; Metazoa; Chordata; Aves; Psittaciformes; Psittacidae. The transcript has 3 exons. The record is from RefSeq and is a predicted model, not a curated record.
GGUUUAUGGUGGCCCCAGGACAUGGAGGUGAGGAGGGGGUGGGUGGGAAGGCAGCGGGGCCACCCAUUGACCACGGUGCAGGUGGCACCCAGGGGACAUUGGGUGUCGCUGCACGAGGGUUGGUGGUGGACACAUUGAGGCCAACCAUUGGUCAUUUUACAGGUGGUCCCCAUGGGACAUUGGAGGUCAAGGCAGGAAGGUCUCCUUAUGGAGGCCUUGGUUUGGAUGCACCUUGGCCAACCAUCAACCAUUUGGCAGGAGGUCCCCUUCUGGCAUUGGACGUCACUGCAUGAAGGUUGGUGAUGGACACAUUGAGGCCACCCACUGACCAUGUUGCAGGUGGUCCCUUUGGGACAUUGGAGGUCACUGCAUGAAGGUCUCAUUAUGGAGGUCUUGGUUUGGAUGCAUCUUGGCCACCCAUUGACCAUCUGGCAGGAGGUUCCUUUCCCACAUUGGAUGUCCUGGCAGGAAGGUUGGUGAUGGACACAUUGAGGCCACCCAUUGACCAUGUUACAUGUUGUUCCCUUAGGACAUUGGAGGUCACUGCAUGAAGGUCUCCUUAUGGAGGUCUUGACUUGGGUGCAUCUUGGCCAACCGUCGACCAUCUGACAGGAGGUUUCCUUCUGGCAUUGGGUAUCCUGGCAUGAAGGUUGGUGAUGGACACAUUGAGGCCCCCCAUUGACCAUGUUACAUGUUGUUCCCUUAGGACAUUGGAGGUCACUGCAUGAAGGUCUCCUUAUGGAGGUCUUGGCUUGGAUGCAUCUUGGCCAACCAUCAACCAACUGGCACAUGGUCCCCUUCUGGCAUUGGAUAUCCUGGCAGGAGGGUGGGUUGUGGACACAUUGGGGUUGGCCAUUGACCAUGUUGCAGGUGGUGCCCGUGGGACAUUGGAUGUGGCUGCAUGAAAGUCUCCUUAUGGAGGUCUUGGCUUGGAUGCAUCUUGGCCAACCAUCAACCAUCUGGCAGGAGGUUCCUUUCCCACACUGGACAUCACUGCAUGAAGGCCUGUGAUGGAGACAUUGGGGCCACCCAUUGACCAUGUUGCAGGUGGUCCCUUUGGGACACUGGAGGUCAUUGCAUGAAGGUCUCCUUAUGGAAGUCUUAGUUUGGACACAUCUUGGCCACCCAUU